This is a non-coding RNA of Anas platyrhynchos (mallard), 3606 nucleotides long. The record is from RefSeq and is a predicted model, not a curated record. NCBI's taxonomy places the organism in Eukaryota, Metazoa, Chordata, Aves, Anseriformes, Anatidae.
GGCUCUUGUCAGUGAGAGCAAGAGGAAAGAGCUGCUCUUUUUGCACAGACCAGAUGCAGUAGUACCGUAAGGAAAAAAGAAAAGGCUGCCUCUUCCUUUUGUUCUGAGCACCCUGUGACAUCCUCCGAUUGACCGAGCUGUUGCUUGCUGCUUGCUGGGUGCAUCUGUCUGGAAAUGUGUCUGGUGCUUUUUCUAACUGUGCCAAGUGACUGCAGGUAAGAGAGAGCAACAGCCUUGCAGUGAAGGCCAGUGAGAUCCAAAGGCCACCGCAUUCCUGCUGUCACGAUGACGGUACUUAGUCACCCUAUUUGCUACCGAGCUGCAGGAAGGAGCCUGUAGCACCGAGGAGAGGGGGCAGCGAGUGCUUUCCCAGUCUAGAGGCUGUGUGCCCUGCCCCAAUCCUACUGGGGUCACUGCUGGAGAUGAGCUGGCACACACUGCUGCAGCAGGGCACCGUGGAGCACUGUAAAAGAAGCAGCUUCCAGUGGUUCAGAAAGGAUAUAAGCAGAGCACCAUGCAUGAAAAUUGCUUUACAGAUGCAGGUGACUGUGCAAGAGACACCAAUGGUCACAGGAUGUACAGCUCUUGCCAUGGAUGUGUGCAGCAGCCACGGUGCUUUGCACACAUGAGCAGGGUUGGAGCCCAGGCCAACAUUUCUGCCCUUUGCUGGAAUGAAGAACCGUUCCCAGCGAGAGUUACAGAUACGUUAAAGGGUUUUACAGCUGUUGGGGUGACUUUGGCUCACUUUGAGCUCCUGAAAGCUGCCGUGUUUUCCUGCAGGAAGGACAGUGAGAUCAUCUCAUGUUCAGGGUGCUAACCAUUUUGACUGUUUCUGGUACAGUAAAAUCUGGAUUAGGCCCCUUAAGCUCCUCCCUAAAAAUUAAUACAAAGCAUUAUCUUAAAAAUUAAACUACUCCAGAAAGCAAUGGCUCCAUUUUCAAAGACAGGCCACGUACACUCUCUUACAGGAAUGUACUCCAUGCACACAAGGUGGACUAAGUGGACAAGGACAGAAUUUACCCUAGAGAUACUGCUGUCCUGAAACAGAAGCCAAUUCUGGGCUUUGUGAACUUCCCAUGAUGGAGCAUCUCUCCCCACUGGCACGUGACUGUGGUCCUGAGCCACCAGCCUCCUCAAGGAAGAACUACUCUUCAUGAAUCCUUCUCUUUAUGGCAGUUGGGACUGUUGCUUUGCUUUUGGGACUGUCUGACUUUUAGUUAGAGCUUACACAGAACAUUUUCACGCCUGGUAGAUGACAAAAUUCCCUAGUUUAAGUCUGUUGAUUAGUUUUUAAAGUGUUCCUGAGGGUAAUUAUCUGUUUUUCUGUGAGUCAGUACUUCAACUGUUGCACGAGUAAAAGGUGGGUUGACUCAAUCCAACUUUUAAAGAGCCCCAAUGAGCAAUACAUUGAUUAAGCCUUGUUUUCAGUGUAGAAUUCAACUUGAGGAAAGCCAGGCCUGUAAGAAAAGCUAAAGAAAAAUUUCUUUUUUUUUGCUCUGUGGAAAUUUUCAUGCAAACUUAUCAGCUUUGAAAAAGGAUGAUGAGCUCUCCUGUACUGGCAGAAGGAGUACUUCUAGCACUAAAGCUACAGCAGAGGGAAAGCUUUUGAGGCCUGUGGUAGAACUAUGCAGACAAAAGCCUUCCCUUGGAGCUUACUGUAUUGACUAGGACUGAAUCACAGUGGAGACCUGAGGGGAAAACCCUUCAAAUAAGCCUAAUGUGAGCAACUCAGUAAGAGUUUGAUGGAAGUCUGCAGUGUGAAGACUGAAUAACAUGGUCAGAAAAAGAUAAAGAUACGAGAAUGACAGACAAGUAGUCUGAGCAAUUCUUCUGGUGCAAGUUUUGAGUUACUUUUGCUGAAGGCUGUUUCAUCUUCCCAGCAAUCUUGAUUGAAAUAAAGUUGUACAUACUUGAUUUCAAACAUCCUGAUUUAUGGGCAUGCACAAAGAGUGAAUCCUAAAUUUCUCUGACUGUAUAUGAAAUUUUGGUCUACUGCCUGUGAAACACAAAAUGAUACAUGAAAUGAUGAAGUGCCAGAGGAGCUGAAGUCUACCCAAAAGAAAUACAGCCAGUAUUAUCUGAGGGCUGCAACUUUUGUUGUCUAAAGAAGAUCCAUCAUGUACGUCAUCAGGGAGUACACAGAAGCUGUGUGGGACAAAGCAUUUGAGGGUUAUUCACUCAGCAUGCAGAGCUGCAGAGCUACAGAGCUGCAAUCACCCUUUAACUUUGUGCCCAAAUGUUGUUCCUAUAUGUUUGGCAUUCUGAACCACAUUCUUACAUGAAUUACGAUUGUAGUAGUGACUACAAUGGUUACAGCCCAUCAAUAAGGAAAAAUACCCUCUUGGUUCUAAAAAGAUGCUUUGCAAUUUAUGUUAUAAGGGAUAAUGAAAUUUUGCAUUAAUCAGUAAAGACAGGAAGAAUGUCAGGUGAAAGACAACUGGUAAAUAGGGCAGAUUAUAAAAACAAUUUUACUUCUAAGAAUGAAACUGUUGAAAUAAUUAUUUUAUUUUGCUGCUAAAAAAUCUUAAACUGCUGAAAACACCAUCAUGGCUGGUGCAGAAACAAGAGAAGUUGAUUGUAGACUACCAGAAUAUCUACUAUCUGUACAUCUUCAUAUAGCCAUCACUUGAGCAUAACAGGAAAUUAAAUGCUAUUAUUUUCUAAGAUUCAUUUGUAUUUAAAGUAGCACAGAAACUGCAGUUAUUACCAAAAUAGAUUUUUUUUUUUUUUUUUAACUGAGAAAGCAAUUAAAGGAUUCACUGAAAAAAUACAUAGUUCCUUUUGUGGUCAAUGAUUCUUCAAACCAUUAAAUGUCAAAAUACUUUUCAUAGCUUUCUACCGAAUAGUUGAAAGGGAAAUCAUCCAUUGUAUGAUUAUUUUUAAGACAACAAUGAAACUGGAGAAAGAGAAUGAAUAUUUAUUUCCGCCCAAUUGCUUGUCUCCCAUCAUGAAAACAUCCUGUGGGCAACUCAUCAUUUGACCUUGAAAGCACUGCAUCAGAAUUCUUCAGUUGCUUUUCCUUAUCUACUAAAGGAAUUUUAUAAUUAGCAGGAGAUGUUUUAUUUUGUUAACAUGAAUGCACAGAAACUCUGAAGUGUAUCCUCUCUAUACCCUGUAAUUGAAAAGAUCUGAAAUUGCUUUUGAGUAUGAAAAAUAAUCAGUGUAUGUUAAGUGAGAAUUUCCUAGCUGAUUUUACAGUUCUUAAAGAAUAAUGUAAAUAGAACGAUGAAGAGAAAUAAUCAUCUAAGUAUGAUAUAAGUUCCUUUCACAGUGUAUUCAAAAUGUUUACGUUCUUAAAAUGAGAAACAACAGAUACUGUAGAGUUCAAACCUUAUGACUUUGUUAGUUGACAAAUACAUUACUGUGAUGAAAUGACAAUAGGAAGCAAAAGACUUGUAGGAUGGUUUGGUCAUUUUUUUUUGGAGAAAAAGAAAAAAAAAAGUAAAUUUCUUAGGAAAUCAGAGCUGAUACAGAAAGAUGUUUGUAUGUGGAAUAAGGUGUGUUGAGGCUGAAUGGAAUGUGUGAACCUGUGCCACAGGACUUGUCCUAGAAAAAGGUGCAAUGUUUGCUCUCAGUUGUAUAAGUAAAAGUUUUCAUGAACUGUUU